Molecule: long non-coding RNA, 2169 nt
Organism: Papio anubis (olive baboon)
Lineage: Eukaryota; Metazoa; Chordata; Mammalia; Primates; Cercopithecidae
Source: Ensembl
UCGGUCGCAUUAUCGGUUUAUCGACGAUCGACGCAUUAUUUUAUUCUAUCUAUCUAUCGGUCGACGACCAUUAUCUAUCUAUCGACGACGCAUUAUUUAUCUAUCCAUCCAUUCAUCAUUCAUCCAUCCAUCCAUUCAUCCAUCCAUCCAUCCAUUCAUCCAUCCAUUCCAUCCAUCAUCCAUCCAUCCAUCCAUCCAUCCAUCAUCCAUCCAUCCCAUUCCAUCCAUCAUCCAUCCAUCAUCCAUCCAUCAUUCAUCCAUCCAUCCAUCCAUCCAUCAUCCAUCCAAUUCAUCCAUCCAUCCAUCAUCUAUCCAUCCACUCCAUUCAUCCAUCCAUCCAUCCAUCAUCCAUCCAUCCAUCCAUCCAUUCAUCCAUCCAUUCAUCCAUCCAUCCAUUAUCCAUUCAUUCCAGAAUUUGCCGAGCACAUCCAUCUAUCCAUGCAUCUAUCCACCCACCCAUUCAUUAUCCAUCCAUCCAUCAUCCAUCCAUUCCAGUAUUGUCUAAUUGCUAACGCAUUCAUCUUAUUCCUUCUAUCUUAUCUAUCAUUCAUCUAUUCCAGCAUUUGGCAUAAUCGAGAAUUCAAUCUAUCCAUUCAUUCAUAUAUCCACCUACCUACCCACUACCUAUUCAUUAUCCAACCACCCAUCCAUCCAUUCCAGAAUCAUUUGCCAAGCAAGCACAUCCAUCUAUCCAUCCAUCCACCCACCCAUUAUCCAUCCAUCAUCCAUCCAUUCCAGAAGCAUUUGCCGAUCAAGCAAUCCAUCCAUCCACCCAUCCAUUCAUUAUCCAUCCAUCCAUCCAUCAGUGAUCCACCAUCCAUUCACCAUAAUCCAUCCAUCCACCCACUCCACCCAUUAUUCAUCUAUACUAUCCAUUCAGAAGCAUUUACAAGUAAGCACAUCCAUUCAUCCAUCCAUCCACCCACCCACCCCUGAUCCAUCUAUCCAUCAUCCAUCCACUCAUUCCAGAAGCAUUUGCCAGCAAUCCAUCCACCCACCCACCCAUUCAUUAUCCAUCCAUCCACCCACCCAUUAUCCAUCCGUCCAUCCAUCCACUAUCCAUCCAUUCAUCCAUCCAUCAUCCAUCCAUCCAUUCCAGAAGCAUUUGCCGAUCAAGCAAUCCAUCCAUCCACCCACCCAUUCAUUCCAGAAUCAUUUGCCAAGCAAGCACAUUCAUCUAUCCAUCCACCCACCCACCCUUUCGUAUCCAUCCAUCCAUCCAUCAUCCAUCUAUCCAUCUAUCCAUCCAUCAUCUAUCCAUCCAUCGAUCCACCCAUCUAUUAUCCAUCCGUCCAUUAUCCUCAUUAUCUCCAGCUUAUCGGGUCAGUGAGUACACUCCAUUCAUCCAAUGUAUCUAUCCACCCACCCGUUCAUUAUCCAUCCAUUCCAGCAUUUGCCGAUGGAGCAAUUCAUCUGUCCACUCACCCACCCAUUCAUUAUCCAUCCAUCCUGAUCCAUUCCAGAAAAUCAUUUGCCAAGGAAGCACAUCCAUCUAUCCAUCCAUCCACCCACCCAUUCAUUAUCCAUCUAUCCGUCCAUCAUCAAUCCAUCCAUCAUCUAUCCAUCCAUCCAUCCACCCAUCUGCAUAUCCAUCCGUCCACAUCCCCAUUCCAGAAGCAUUUUACGAAAGGAGGACCCAUUCUUAUCCAAUGAUUCAUUCCACCUUACCCUGCUUCACAUUCAUCCAUCCAUCUAUCCAGUCACUUAUGCAUCAUCUUCCAUUCUCCAUUCCAUCCAUCUAUCCAUCAUCCAUCCAUUCCAGCAUUUAUUUAUCGAAAGCAAUUCCAUCCUACCCACUCACCCAACAUCUCAUCAUCCAUCCAUCCAUCCAUCCAUCCCAGAAUCAUUUGCCAAGCAAGCACAUCCAUCUAUCCAUCCAUCCACCCACCCAUUCACUAUCCAUCCAUUUAUUCAUCCAUCAUUUAUCCAUCCAUCCAUCCAUUCCAGCAUUUGCCGAUCGAGCAAUCCAUCCACCCACCCACCUAUUCAUUAUCCAUCCAUCCAUUCAUUCCAGAAUCAUCUGCCAAGCAAGCACAUCCAUCUGUCCAUCCAUCCACUCUACUUCCACGUAAUUUAUUAUUCAUUCCAUCUAUUAUUUUAUUCCAUUCAUCAUUGAUCUAUCAUUAUCUAUCAUCUAUCAUCUUCCAUACGACACGACCUUAUUCCAUU